Molecule: ribosomal RNA, 476 nt
Filed under: uncultured bacterium
Lineage: Bacteria
Description: partial 16S ribosomal RNA
Rfam family: Bacterial small subunit ribosomal RNA
Source: RNAcentral
UGGGGAAUAUUGCACAAUGGGCGCAAGCCUGAUGCAGCCAUGCCGCGUGUGUGAAGAAGGCCUUCGGGUUGUAAAGCACUUUCAGCGAGGAGGAAGGUGGUGAACUUAAUACGUUCAUCAAUUGACGUUACUCGCAGAAGAAGCACCGGCUAACUCCGUGCCAGCAGCCGCGGUAAUACGGAGGGUGCAAGCGUUAAUCGGAAUUACUGGGCGUAAAGCGCACGCAGGCGGUUUGUUAAGUCAGAUGUGAAAUCCCCGGGCUCAACCUGGGAACUGCAUUUGAAAACUGGCAAGCUAGAGUCUCGUAGAGGGGGGUAGAAUUCCAGGUGUAGCGGUGAAAUGCGUAGAGAUCUGGAGGAAUACCGGUGGCGAAGGCGGCCCCCUGGACGAAGACUGACGCUCAGGUGCGAAAGCGUGGGGAGCAAACAGAUUAGAUACCCUGGUAGUCCACGCUGUAAAACGAUGUCGAUUUUGGA